Molecule: ribosomal RNA, 777 nt
Filed under: Vitreoporus dichrous
Lineage: Eukaryota; Fungi; Basidiomycota; Agaricomycetes; Polyporales; Irpicaceae
Description: partial large subunit ribosomal RNA
Rfam family: Eukaryotic large subunit ribosomal RNA
Source: RNAcentral
CCCCUAGUAACUGCGAGUGAAGCGGGAAAAGCUCAAAUUUAAAAUCUGGCAGUCUUUGAUUGUCCGAGUUGUAGUCUAGAGAAGCAUUUUCCGCGCUGGACCGUGUACAAGUCUCUUGGAAUAGAGCGUCAUAGAGGGUGAGAAUCCCGUCCAUGACACGGACUACCAGUGCUUUGUGAUGUGCUCUCAAAGAGUCGAGUUGUUUGGGAAUGCAGCUCAAAAUGGGUGGUAAAUUCCAUCUAAAGCUAAAUAUUGGCGAGAGACCGAUAGCGAACAAGUACCGUGAGGGAAAGAUGAAAAGCACUUUGGAAAGAGAGUUAAACAGUACGUGAAAUUGCUGAAAGGGAAACGAUUGAAGUCAGUCGCGUUAUUCAGAACUCAGCCUUACCUCGGUAUGGUGCAUUUUCUGUUUAACGGGCCAGCAUCAGUUUCGAUCGCCGGAAAAAGGUUAGAGAAAUGUGGCACCUUCGGGUGUGUUAUAGUCUCUAAUUGUAUACGGUGGUUGGGACUGAGGAACUCAGUACACCUUUAUGGUCGGGGUUCGCCCACGUUUGUACUUAGGAUGCUGGCGUAAUGGCUUUAAGCGACCCGUCUUGAAACACGGACCAAGGAGUCUAACAUGCCUGCGAGUGUUUGGGUGGUAAACCCGAGCGCGUAAUGAAAGUGAAAGUUGGGAUCUCUGUCGUGGAGAGCACCGACGCCCGGACCAGAACUUCUGUGACGGCCCUGCGGUAGAGCAUGUAUGUUGGGACCCGAAAGAUGGUGAACUAUGCCUGA